GCAGGAAAACACAACACUGGGUGGCGCUGUUCCCACAGCUGUGCGACUGAACGACGAGCUACUCGCCAGUCAUCAAGCGGAUAGAAGGCUAGCCAGUAUUAUCAAGUCAGCUACGGCAAAAAGUAUGUAUUUAUCCAGCUGACAUACUGCAGCAGUUCAGACCUGCCUGUUUUCCCUUCUGCACCAACAAACAAAAGCAUUCCCACACGAGAGAGGUGCGUGCUGGUGUUGCUGUGGCUCCUUGCCAGCCACUCUCACAGAGAGUCCUUAAAGGUUGCCAAGGAACUUGUGAUUGCAUGUAGAGACGGAAAGAGAUGUGUACAGAUGAGGCGAGAUGUGACAUCACAUUCAGAUUUUCCAGGGAUGUGCUAGCAGAGGGGAAACAGACUGUCCUCUACAUGUCCUUAACAAGCCGGUCUCUAGGGACCGUCAGUGACACGGCUGUCUUCCGAUCACUAAUCUAUCAUCAUUUGGACAGAUUAGUAAGCAAACAACCUGUACUCUCUGGCUGGACUGCAGUACUGUGAGUGGAGAAGGACUGACCUGAGACCUGAUGAUGAUGGGUAUUUGGGAUAGUGAAGAGUGAAGAGAAGGGACAUGUCAUGCCAUUUCACAACAACCUCAGGGAAAGUGUCGGUUGCCAGAGCUCAGGAUGAGAGCGAACAGAGUGCCAUCUGCCAAGGGCAAACCUCAUCCCAGUGAAAGCAUGACAAGAGAGUGACAAGAGG
Molecule: long non-coding RNA, 728 nt
Organism: Cyprinus carpio carpio
Lineage: Eukaryota; Metazoa; Chordata; Actinopteri; Cypriniformes; Cyprinidae
Source: Ensembl